RNAcentral lists this ribosomal RNA (234 nucleotides) under uncultured bacterium. RNAcentral's name for it is "partial 16S ribosomal RNA". It matches the Rfam family "Bacterial small subunit ribosomal RNA", at positions 536 to 769 of the family's 1533-position model. The record is from RNAcentral.
AAGCGUUGUCCGGAAUUACUGGGCGUAAAGGGUGCGUAGGCGGCAUUACAAGUCUAAUGUAAAAUCCCCGUGCUUAACAUGGGGUUUGCAAUAGAAACUGUAAAGCUAGAGUGCAGGAGAGGUAAGUGGAAUUCCUAGUGUAGCGGUGAAGUGCAUAGAUAUUAGGAGGAACACCAGUGGCGAAGGCGACUUACUGGACUGUAACUGACGCUGAAGCACGAAAGCAUGGGGAGC